UACGAAGGGGGCUAGCGUUGCUCGGAAUCACUGGGCGUAAAGGGCGCGUAGGCGGCCGAUCAAGUCGGGGGUGAAAGCCUGUGGCUCAACCACAGAAUGGCCUUCGAUACUGGUUGGCUCGAGACCGGAAGAGGUGAGUGGAACUGCGAGUGUAGAGGUGAAAUUCGUAGAUAUUCGCAAGAACACCAGUGGCGAAGGCGGCUGACUGGUCCGGUUCUGACGCUGAGGAGCGAAAGCGUGGGGAGCGAACAGG
RNAcentral lists this ribosomal RNA (253 nucleotides) under uncultured bacterium. RNAcentral's name for it is "partial 16S ribosomal RNA". It matches the Rfam family "Bacterial small subunit ribosomal RNA", at positions 524 to 776 of the family's 1533-position model. The record is from RNAcentral.